AAAGACUUGCCGUUACAACUG
This 21-nucleotide small nuclear RNA is filed under the name Arabidopsis thaliana (thale cress). Its description in RNAcentral is "snRNA_11852". The record is from RNAcentral. Lineage: Eukaryota; Viridiplantae; Streptophyta; Magnoliopsida; Brassicales; Brassicaceae.